This is a non-coding RNA of Oryzias melastigma (Indian medaka), 506 nucleotides long. NCBI's taxonomy places the organism in Eukaryota, Metazoa, Chordata, Actinopteri, Beloniformes, Adrianichthyidae. The record is from the annotation of a RefSeq genome assembly.
GAUCCAGAGCUGCUGAGAACAGCUGCAGAUGACUGACUCAGUGUGUUUGCAUAUGUGUGCUGCCUCUCUGCUUCCAGCAGUUAAGAGCUCAGUGUUGAUCAGUGGCUGUCCAGACCUUUCAGAGACACUGACACACCUGCAGCACAAUGAGGAUGUCACUGACUCUGCUGCUGGCUGUCCUGGAGCUCCUUGUUCAGGGUUCUUCAGGUGAAACCACUUUGACUCAGACUCCUGGAUCUCAGUCUGUUGUUCCAGGACAAACUGUCUCCAUUAGAUGUAUAGCCAGUACAAAUAUUGAUGAUGAUCUUCACUGGUAUCUUCAGAAAUCUGGAGAAGCUCCUAAACUUUUGAUAUCUUAUGCAACAAAUCGUCAGUCUGGAGUUUCUGAUCGUUUUAGUGGAAGUGGAUACGACAGAGAUUUCACUCUGACCAUCAGUGGAGUUCAGGCUGAAGAUUCAGGAGUUUAUUACUGUCAGCACGACGACAACUAUCCGUACACACAGUGA